This 405-nucleotide ribosomal RNA is filed under the name uncultured Pseudomonas sp. Its description in RNAcentral is "bacterial SSU rRNA". It matches the Rfam family "Bacterial small subunit ribosomal RNA", at positions 1 to 404 of the family's 1533-position model. Lineage: Bacteria; Pseudomonadati; Pseudomonadota; Gammaproteobacteria; Pseudomonadales; Pseudomonadaceae. The record is from RNAcentral.
CAUGAGUUUGAUCCUGGCUCAGAUUGAACGCUGGCGGCAGGCCUAACACAUGCAAGUCGAGCGGAUGACGGGAGCUUGCUCCUUGAUUCAGCGGCGGACGGGUGAGUAAUGCCUAGGAAUCUGCCUGGUAGUGGGGGACAACGUUUCGAAAGGAACGCUAAUACCGCAUACGUCCUACGGGAGAAAGCAGGGGGACCUUCGGGCCUUGCGCUAUCAGAUGAGCCUAGGUCGGAUUAGCUAGUUGGUGGGGUAAUGGCUCACCAAGGCGACGAUCCGUAACUGGUCUGAGAGGAUGAUCAGUCACACUGGAACUGAGACACGGUCCAGACUCCGUACGGGGAGGCAGCGAGUGGGGUAAUAUUGGAACAAGUGGGCGAAAGCCCUGAUCCCAGCCAUGCCGCGUGU